This 468-nucleotide ribosomal RNA is filed under the name uncultured bacterium. Its description in RNAcentral is "partial 16S ribosomal RNA". It matches the Rfam family "Bacterial small subunit ribosomal RNA", at positions 28 to 507 of the family's 1533-position model. The record is from RNAcentral.
GACGAACGCUGGCGGCGUGCUUAACACAUGCAAGUCGAACGGAAAGGCCCUGCUUUUGUGGGGUGCUCGAGUGGCGAACGGGUGAGUAACACGUGAGUAACCUGCCCUUGACUUUGGGAUAACUUCAGGAAACUGGGUCUAAUACCGGCUAGGAGCUCCUGCUGCAUGGUGGGGGUUGGAAAGUUUCGGCGGUUGGGGAUGGACUCGCGGCUUAUCAGCUUGUUGGUUGGGUAGUGUCUUACCAAGGCUUUGAGGGGUAGCCGGCCUGAGAGGGUGGCCGGCCACGUUAGGACGGAAAUGAGGCCCGGACUAGUACGGGAGGGAACAGUGGAGUAUAGAGUACUAUAGGAUGGAGCCUAACGCAGCAACGCAGUGCGCGGGAUGAGGUGCAGCGGGUAGUGAACCGAAGUCGCCUUUGACGAAGCGUUAGUGACGGUAAUGGGUAAAUAAGCACCGGCUAACUACGUG